GUUGAUUUCUCUGGCUUGACUUCAUCGCUUCCAAUGCACCACAAGCUCCCUCUUUAAGUAGUUCCAGUUCACCAUCAUGUAAGUUAUAGAAUAUGUUUACAAUUAUAAAAAAAUUAGGAAAUCUGUGAAUCAAGUUACACAGAAAAUUGACUCUUAGGGAAAAAAGAGAUGUGCUUUUAAUUAAAAAAAUCAUUUUUCUAAUUAAAUGAGGGUUAGCUGGAAUACCUUAACCACCUCUAACACUGGUGCUUGUUGCUUAUCUACUGACCUCCCUGUGCAGAUAUAUAGAUGUGCUACUGGAUUUACUUGGGCUGCUUCUUCCCUAGAAACAAGACAGCCCUUCAAUCUGAAAAAGAAGGGGAGAUAGAUUUGUAGUGUUAUAAAUUGUGAUGGUCUGUGACAUCCCACUGAUUGCUUAUUUGAUAAUCUUCAUUCUGACAUAUCAAGCAGCGCUGAAGUGGCCUUUGGAGAUCUCUGGAAAGCUGCACUGGACAACACUUUACUGAAGAAGAAUAACCAUAUCUGCCGUUAUUUUCCAGCAGGAUUCAUUUUGUUGAAGACACAAAACAAAAGCCUUUCUGUCACUGGAUUUGCUGAGUGUGCUCCAAGGGACUGCAGCAGUGCUUUGCUGCUAGCUCUUGUCCUGCUUCCCGGAGAGCCAUUGUGCUGCACUGUGAGCAGGCAGGAUACUCGCCCCAGAGUGAGCUGUGAUGGAGGGACUGACACUGAAACUGCUGGAGAGGUUGAGAAGAAUCCCAGCCUUACAAAGAGUUAUGGAUCAGAUAACUCAGAAUCCCCUUUAGCCUAG
Molecule: long non-coding RNA, 808 nt
Filed under: Anas platyrhynchos platyrhynchos (common mallard)
Lineage: Eukaryota; Metazoa; Chordata; Aves; Anseriformes; Anatidae
Description: lncRNA (ENSAPLG00000021449.1)
Source: RNAcentral